CCUACGGGCGGCAGCAGUGGGGAAUAUUGGACAAUGGGGGGAACCCUGAUCCAGCCAUGCCGCGUGUGUGAAGAAGGCCCUCGGGUUGUAAAGCACUUUCAGUGAGGAAGAACGCCUGGUGGUUAAUACCCAUCAGGAAGGACAUCACUCACAGAAGAAGCACCGGCUAACUCCGUGCCAGCAGCCGCGGUAAUACGGAGGGUGCGAGCGUUAAUCGGAAUUACUGGGCGUAAAGCGCGCGUAGGUGGCUUGAUAAGCCGGUUGUGAAAGCCCCGGGCUCAACCUGGGAACGGCAUCCGGAACUGUCAAGCUAGAGUGCAGGAGAGGAAGGUAGAAUUCCCGGUGUAGCGGUGAAAUGCGUAGAGAUCGGGAGGAAUACCAGUGGCGAAGGCGGCCUUCUGGACUGACACUGACACUGAGGUGCGAAAGCGUGGGUAGCAAACAGGAUUAGAUACCCGGGUAGUC
This 465-nucleotide ribosomal RNA is filed under the name Vreelandella stevensii. RNAcentral describes it as "partial 16S ribosomal RNA". It matches the Rfam family "Bacterial small subunit ribosomal RNA", at positions 338 to 795 of the family's 1533-position model. The record is from RNAcentral. Lineage: Bacteria; Pseudomonadati; Pseudomonadota; Gammaproteobacteria; Oceanospirillales; Halomonadaceae.